AGAGUUUGAUCAUGGCUCAGAACGAACGCUGGCGGCGUGGAUAAGACAUGCAAGUCGAGCGGGAUUUUUUCUAGUAGCAAUACCGGGAAAAAUCUAGCGGCGAACGGGUGCGUAACACGUGGGCAAUCUGUCGUAAAGUGUGGGAUAGCUCGGCGAAAGCCGAAUUAAUACCGCAUGUGAUUAGCGGAGACAUCUUCGCGACAUCAAAGGUGGCGCAAGCUACCGCUUUUUGAGGAGCCCGCGGCCUAUCAGCUUGUUGGUGAGGUAACGGCUCACCAAGGCUUUGACGGGUAGCUGGUCUGAGAGGACGACCAGCCACACUGGGACUGAGACACGGCCCAGACACCUACGGGUGGCAGCAGUCGAGAAUUUUUGACAAUGGGGGAAACCCUGAUCGAGCGACGCCGCGUGGAGGAUGAAGGUCUUCGGGUUGUAAACUCCUGUCAUUUGGGAACAAUGGUUACGCGUUUACUGCGUGUGACUUGAUAGUACCAGAAGAGGAAGAGACGGCUAACUCUGUGCCAGCAGCCGCGGUAAUACAGAGGUCUCAAGCGUUGUUCGGAUUCAUUGGGCGUAAAGGGUGUGUAGGUGGCGCCGUAAGUCAGGUGUGAAAUCUCGGGGCUUAACUCCGAAACUGCAUUUGAUACUGCGGUGCUUGAGGACUGGAGAGGAGACUGGAAUUUACGGUGUAGCAGUGAAAUGCGUAGAUAUCGUAAGGAAGACCAGUGGCGAAGGCGGGUCUCUGGACAGUUCCUGACACUGAGACACGAAGGCCAGGGGAGCAAACGGGAUUAGAUACCCUAGUAGUCC
Molecule: ribosomal RNA, 810 nt
Filed under: uncultured bacterium
Lineage: Bacteria
Description: bacterial SSU rRNA
Rfam family: Bacterial small subunit ribosomal RNA
Source: RNAcentral